Non-coding RNA from Streptococcus pneumoniae 2070335, 136 nucleotides. NCBI's taxonomy places the organism in Bacteria, Bacillati, Bacillota, Bacilli, Lactobacillales, Streptococcaceae. The record is from Rfam.
AUACGGUUUAAAAAACUGCCUAAGACAGUAGGGGAGCUCGACUCAUAAAUAUCCUACCGAGGACAAGACGUAUCAUGUAAAAAGAAGCGUAUUGUACUUUCGUGUCUAGGUUUGGGCGCGUUUUUCUUUUGAAAAA